Molecule: ribosomal RNA, 959 nt
Filed under: Foraminifera sp.
Lineage: Eukaryota; Foraminifera
Description: SSU rRNA
Rfam family: Eukaryotic small subunit ribosomal RNA
Source: RNAcentral
AAGGGCACCACAAGAACGCGUGGAGCAUGUGGCUUAAUUUGACUCAACGCGGGAAAUCUUACCGGGUCCGGACACACUGAGGAUUGACAGGCGCAUGCAGAAUUCUCUUCUUUUUGGGGAGAUAUUUUGCUACAAAUUAUGCUAGUCCUUUCAUGAUUGUGUGAUAGGUGGUGCAUGGCCGUUCUUAGUUCGUGGAGUGAUCUGUCUGCUUAAUUGCGUUUCACAAAUGGAGUCAUUUAAUUUUGUCUUGUUGCGCGCAGAGUUUUUUGCAAUUUAUUGCAUGCUCUGUUGUGCACGGCAAUGUUUGCGCUCCAGAAGGCAACGAACGUGACCGCAACCUCUUGUUGCCUCUUUUACAAACUUUCAUUGUAUUAGGAGAUUUCUUCUUUUACUUUGAAUUACAGAGGCUAACUAGAGGGACCGCUGCGCUUUUUCAAACAGAGGAAGGUUGCGGCAAUAACAGGUCUGUGAUGCCCUUAGAUGUUCCGGGCUGCACACGUGCUACAAUGAUUAUUGCAGUGAGCAUCUUUAUAUUUUUUUAAAUAGUUUAUUGGUGGCAUUUGUGGCUUCGGCUGCAUUUUGUCCCAAAAACAGACCUGCUUCGAAAGUAAGUAGGUAAUCAAUUCGAAGUAAUGAUUUCCAUACGCACAUACUUAUGUUCCCAUGUUUGCUGAUAAGAUAGCCUUCAUCUGUCCGCAGAUGGGCUCUUAUCAUCCUUGGGACAUGUGCUCCAUUAAUUCAUGGUGGGGACAGACCAUUGUUAAUUGUUGGUCUCGGUCUCAACUAGGAAUGCCUUGUACGGCUCUUGGUUCAACAAACCAGCCGGAAUAUGUCCCUGCCCUUUGUACACACCGCCCGUCGCUCUUACCGAUGGACUUCGCUGUGAGUUUGAGGGACUGGCUCUCCUUUGAGCUAUGGAAACUUAAACGAACAGUGUGGUCUAAAGGAAAGAGAAGUCG